GCCAGCAGGCAUGUCACCCUGCAGCUCACCGCUGCCUGCCCAGUGAAGCUCAGCAGGUGUGAGCCUGGUCAGUACCUAGAUGGGAGACUCCUGGGAAAAACUAAGGCUGCUGCUGGAA
RNAcentral lists this ribosomal RNA (118 nucleotides) under Lepisosteus oculatus (spotted gar). The record is from RNAcentral. Lineage: Eukaryota; Metazoa; Chordata; Actinopteri; Semionotiformes; Lepisosteidae.